AGAGUUUGAUCCUGGCUCAGGAUGAACGCUAGCGGCAGGCUUAACACAUGCAAGUCGAGGGGCAGCGGGGAGGAAGCUUGCUUUCUCCGCCGGCGACCGGCGCACGGGUGAGUAACACGUAUGCAACCUGCCCCUGUCAGGGGGACAACCCGCCGAAAGGCGGGCUAAACCCGCGUACAUGCCACCGGGGCAUCCCGGAGGCAGGAAAGGCUUCGGCCGGACAGGGAUGGGCAUGCGGCGCAUUAGGCAGUAGGCGGGGUAACGGCCCACCUAACCGACGAUGCGUAGGGGUUCUGAGAGGAAGGUCCCCCACACUGGUACUGAGACACGGACCAGACUCCUACGGGAGGCAGCAGUGAGGAAUAUUGGUCAAUGGUCGGGAGACUGAACCAGCCAAGCCGCGUGAGGGAGGAAGGUACAGAGUAUCGUAAACCUCUUUUGUCAGGGAACAAAGACGGGGACGCGUCCCCGGAUGAGUGUACCUGAAGAAAAAGCAUCGGCUAACUCCGUGCCAGCAGCCGCGGUAAUACGGAGGAUGCGAGCGUUAUCCGGAUUUAUUGGGUUUAAAGGGUGCGCAGGCGGUCUGUUAAGUCAGCGGUCAAAGCCCGGGGCUCAACCCCGGCCCGCCGUUGAAACUGGCAGUCUCGAGUUGGAGAGAAGUAUGCGGAAUGCGCGGUGUAGCGGUGAAAUGCAUAGAUAUCGCGCAGAACUCCGAUUGCGAAGGCAGCAUGCCGGCUCCACACUGACGCUGAGGCACGAAAGCGUGGGUAUCGAACAGGAUUAGAUACCCUGGUAGUCCACGCAGUAAACGAUGAAUGCUGGCUGUCCGGGGGGACUGACCCCUGGGUGGCGAAGCGAAAGCGAUAAGCAUUCCACCUGGGGAGUACGCCGGCAACGGUGAAACUCAAAGGAAUUGACGGGGGCCCGCACAAGCGGAGGAACAUGUGGUUUAAUUCGAUGAUACGCGAGGAACCUUACCCGGGCCCAAACGGGGAGUGGCGCAGGCAGAGACGCCUGUUUCCCACGGGACACUCCCCGAGGUGCUGCAUGGUUGUCGUCAGCUCGUGCCGUGAGGUGUCGGCUUAAGUGCCAUAACGAGCGCAACCCCCGCGUGCAGUUGCUAACAGAUAACGCUGAGGACUCUGCACGGACUGCCGGCGCAAGCCGCGAGGUAGGCGGGGAGGACGUCAAAUCAGCACGGCCCUUACGUCCGGGGCGACACACGUGUUACAAUGGGUGGUACAGCGGGAAGCCAGGCGGCGACGCCGAGCGGAACCCGAAAUCCACUCUCAGUUCGGAUCGGAGUCUGCAACCCGACUCCGUGAAGCUGGAUUCGCUAGUAAUCGCGCAUCAGCCAUGGCGCGGUGAAUACGUUCCCGGGCCCUUGCACUCACCGCCCGUCA
This 1403-nucleotide ribosomal RNA is filed under the name uncultured bacterium. RNAcentral describes it as "16S ribosomal RNA". It matches the Rfam family "Bacterial small subunit ribosomal RNA". The record is from RNAcentral.